This 2789-nucleotide ribosomal RNA is filed under the name Escherichia coli. RNAcentral's name for it is "bacterial LSU rRNA". It matches the Rfam family "Bacterial large subunit ribosomal RNA". The record is from RNAcentral. Lineage: Bacteria; Pseudomonadati; Pseudomonadota; Gammaproteobacteria; Enterobacterales; Enterobacteriaceae.
AGCGUACACGGUGGAUGCCCUGGCAGUCAGAGGCGAUGAAGGACGUGCUAAUCUGCGAUAAGCGUCGGUAAGGUGAUAUGAACCGUUAUAACCGGCGAUUUCCGAAUGGGGAAACCCAGUGUGAUUCGUCACACUAUCAUUAACUGAAUCCAUAGGUUAAUGAGGCGAACCGGGGGAACUGAAACAUCUAAGUACCCCGAGGAAAAGAAAUCAACCGAGAUUCCCCCAGUAGCGGCGAGCGAACGGGGAGCAGCCCAGAGCCUGAAUCAGUGUGUGUGUUAGUGGAAGCGUCUGGAAAGGCGUGCGAUACAGGGUGACAGCCCCGUACACAAAAAUGCACAUGCUGUGAGCUCGAUGAGUAGGGCGGGACACGUGGUAUCCUGUCUGAAUAUGGGGGGACCAUCCUCCAAGGCUAAAUACUCCUGACUGACCGAUAGUGAACCAGUACCGUGAGGGAAAGGCGAAAAGAACCCCGGCGAGGGGAGUGAAAAAGAACCUGAAACCGUGUACGUACAAGCAGUGGGAGCACAGAGCAAUCUGUGUGACUGCGUACCUUUUGUAUAAUGGGUCAGCGACUUAUAUUCUGUAGCAAGGUUAACCGAAUAGGGGAGCCGAAGGGAAACCGAGUCUUAACUGGGCGUUAAGUUGCAGGGUAUAGACCCGAAACCCGGUGAUCUAGCCAUGGGCAGGUUGAAGGUUGGGUAACACUAACUGGAGGACCGAACCGACUAAUGUUGAAAAAUUAGCGGAUGACUUGUGGCUGGGGGUGAAAGGCCAAUCAAACCGGGAGAUAGCUGGUUCUCCCCGAAAGCUAUUUAGGUAGCGCCUCGUGAAUUCAUCUCCGGGGGUAGAGCACUGUUUCGGCAAGGGGGUCAUCCCGACUUACCAACCCGAUGCAAACUGCGAAUACCGGAGAAUGUUAUCACGGGAGACACACGGCGGGUGCUAACGUCCGUCGUGAAGAGGGAAACAACCCAGACCGCCAGCUAAGGUCCCAAAGUCAUGGUUAAGUGGGAAACGAUGUGGGAAGGCCCAGACAGCCAGGAUGUUGGCUUAGAAGCAGCCAUCAUUUAAAGAAAGCGUAAUAGCUCACUGGUCGAGUCGGCCUGCGCGGAAGAUGUAACGGGGCUAAACCAUGCACCGAAGCUGCGGCAGCGACGCUUAUGCGUUGUUGGGUAGGGGAGCGUUCUGUAAGCCUGUGAAGGUGUACUGUGAGGUAUGCUGGAGGUAUCAGAAGUGCGAAUGCUGACAUAAGUAACGAUAAAGCGGGUGAAAAGCCCGCUCGCCGGAAGACCAAGGGUUCCUGUCCAACGUUAAUCGGGGCAGGGUGAGUCGACCCCUAAGGCGAGGCCGAAAGGCGUAGUCGAUGGGAAACAGGUUAAUAUUCCUGUACUUGGUGUUACUGCGAAGGGGGGACGGAGAAGGCUAUGUUGGCCGGGCGACGGUUGUCCCGGUUUAAGCGUGUAGGCUGGUUUUCCAGGCAAAUCCGGAAAACUAAGGCUGAGGCGUGAUGACGAGGCACUACGGUGCUGAAGCAACAAAUGCCCUGCUUCCAGGAAAAGCCUCUAAGCAUCAGGUAACAUCAAAUCGUACCCCAAACCGACACAGGUGGUCAGGUAGAGAAUACCAAGGCGCUUGAGAGAACUCGGGUGAAGGAACUAGGCAAAAUGGUGCCGUAACUUCGGGAGAAGGCACGCUGAUAUGUAGGUGAAGUCCCUCGCGGAUGGAGCUGAAAUCAGUCGAAGAUACCAGCUGGCUGCAACUGUUUAUUAAAAACACAGCACUGUGCAAACACGAAAGUGGACGUAUACGGUGUGACGCCUGCCCGGUGCCGGAAGGUUAAUUGAUGGGGUUAGCGCAAGCGAAGCUCUUGAUCGAAGCCCCGGUAAACGGCGGCCGUAACUAUAACGGUCCUAAGGUAGCGAAAUUCCUUGUCGGGUAAGUUCCGACCUGCACGAAUGGCGUAAUGAUGGCCAGGCUGUCUCCACCCGAGACUCAGUGAAAUUGAACUCGCUGUGAAGAUGCAGUGUACCCGCGGCAAGACGGAAAGACCCCGUGAACCUUUACUAUAGCUUGACACUGAACAUUGAGCCUUGAUGUGUAGGAUAGGUGGGAGGCUUUGAAGUGUGGACGCCAGUCUGCAUGGAGCCGACCUUGAAAUACCACCCUUUAAUGUUUGAUGUUCUAACGUUGACCCGUAAUCCGGGUUGCGGACAGUGUCUGGUGGGUAGUUUGACUGGGGCGGUCUCCUCCUAAAGAGUAACGGAGGAGCACGAAGGUUGGCUAAUCCUGGUCGGACAUCAGGAGGUUAGUGCAAUGGCAUAAGCCAGCUUGACUGCGAGCGUGACGGCGCGAGCAGGUGCGAAAGCAGGUCAUAGUGAUCCGGUGGUUCUGAAUGGAAGGGCCAUCGCUCAACGGAUAAAAGGUACUCCGGGGAUAACAGGCUGAUACCGCCCAAGAGUUCAUAUCGACGGCGGUGUUUGGCACCUCGAUGUCGGCUCAUCACAUCCUGGGGCUGAAGUAGGUCCCAAGGGUAUGGCUGUUCGCCAUUUAAAGUGGUACGCGAGCUGGGUUUAGAACGUCGUGAGACAGUUCGGUCCCUAUCUGCCGUGGGCGCUGGAGAACUGAGGGGGGCUGCUCCUAGUACGAGAGGACCGGAGUGGACGCAUCACUGGUGUUCGGGUUGUCAUGCCAAUGGCACUGCCCGGUAGCUAAAUGCGGAAGAGAUAAGUGCUGAAAGCAUCUAAGCACGAAACUUGCCCCGAGAUGAGUUCUCCCUGACUCCUUGA